CUCACCGCUCCAAGUCGAAGACGUGUGUUCUUCGCCUAGAAUCAUAUGCAUAUUUACGUUGCGCUGCGGAAAGCAACACGCAUCGACGUACGUACGUUUUACUCGCUUACUUUCACGAGGAAUGACUCAGGGGCUCUGCGCCCCUGCGAUGAUUGCGGUUUGAGAUCAGGGGUGUGAGGGGCGGUGCGAAAAGCGUGCUGAUUCUCGCAUACAUUGCGCAGGACGUCGGCGCCUUAGCGUUACGACCACCCCCUGACCGAUUCGGUCGUUGUUUGCUAGCUCCAUAUCGCGAACGUCCGCGUGGAGAGAAGACGGACGGAUCGCGUCGUUGUUUCGUUCUUUCGUAUGUGAAAAAGCACUCGCGUUUUUCUCUGAUUUAUUUUUAACUAAGUAAAAGGAAAAAGGUUUUCCCUUCGAUAGGAUCGAUCGAAGUUGCACAUCGAAAAUAUAUAAAUCUUAUGCAAGAAGGAAAUAAGAAGAAGUUGAAAAGAAUCGAAUUAAGAAGCAGUGUGCCUCUAUUCCCAUGAACCCGUGGUGAGGAGGAGUGGUGCUGGUGAUAGUGGUGGUGGUUGCGGUAAAACGUGUCCACGAACUCUUGCCCUCCUCCUCCUCCUUCUCCUCCUCCUUGACUCCCCCUAGGAGCCGGUACAACAGGACGUUAAGAGACGAGGGUGAACAAAAGGGUCGUUUUCUGGGUUCGUCAAUACUCGAACAAGAUUUUCUCAUUCUCGUCUGGUAUUUUUCAUAUUUCUUGGCUGGUGGAAUUGUGUGGCCGUAGUGAAACGUGUGCAGAUAUGCGCGUGCUAUCGAUCACGCGACCCGAUUGCGCGGAUAUGUGAUACCGGAAGUAGGUACGGCAGGCUUGACCUGCGUGCAGGUGCUCCACAGUGCGUGCCACGUAUGCGUACAUACAUAGGGGCGAGCAGCGACAGAGUAGAGAAGGGUGCGCGAGAAGAGGCCGCGUGUCAGGGCCAGUCGUGAAGAUGCACGCCACCGACGCCGUCGACGUGACGGCGUCCCUGCCGUCAUCCACGUCCUCCGUGGCCGCCUCGAGGAGCUUCGGGCAUGAAGUCAGGCUCGUCUUCGUCCUGCUCGUGUCCUGCUGGAUCGUCCAGGAUCGGCUAGUGCUCGGGAUGUCCGAGCCACCGGAGCUAACCACGAUUGAAGACUUAACCGACAGAGGGACGAAGAAGUUUGGCGAUGAUUGCGUGGAAGAUCGUGAAUGCAGUUUCUCUGGCUCUUAUUGCGAGCCAAAAAAGAACAAAUGUUCGUGCAGGGAGGAAUUCGAGGCGACGAAUCAUAUCGACAAAUGUGGACACCCGGUGAACGUGAACGAGUCAUGCUUUUUCCAUGAGCAAUGUGAAGCGAGAGUGAGUCAAACCGAAUGCAGGGACAAUCGUUGCAUUUGCAUCUUCGAGAAGAUCCCGGUUACGCAGCCUGACGGCAUGAUUGUGUGUGUCGCUGAGCAAAAAGAAGAACCCAAUCUUCAAUAUAUCGAUCCGACGAUGAUUGGUGUUCUCGUUGGUAUGGCCCUCAUGUUCAUCAUCAUCUGCGUCGUUCUUAGGCUUUUCAGCAAAGCUCGUUGGCGCGAAAAUCGUACAAUUUUUAACACCCCGAACGCCCGUCUAAUGAACGUAUCGUUACUAAGAGAGAAUAAGCUCCUGCAUCCGCAGGAAAGACGCGGUUCAAGGGCAAGCGUACGAGUUCCUUCGAGGCAACCCUCGAUGGCCUCCUUACGUGCCCAUUCGCCGAAUGCCUCGCAAGUCGAUCAUCUAUAGCAGUAGUCUGUUUAAUGAUCCCGUCUGUGACCGUUGUUCUUGAUUAUCUUAUAUACUGCGGAUUAUAUACUACGGACCUAUGAGGUGCUCUAUUGUAAAAAACUUUUCAAAUUGACGCGUCCUUCGAAGAGGGGUCACGAACAGGAUCACGACGGGGAAGUCGCGGUAGCAGUGGGAAUGCGUCAGCCGUCUCAACGAAAUCGAACAAAUCGCCACCUAAUCAGCCAAAUACCAUGUCUGAAACUAUUCAUUCGGAAAAUGUCACCGUUGAAAUUCUCGAGGCUAAAGCGUAGAUCCACUGGAAAUCCACGGCCAUCGUUGCUACGCCUUUCUCUUUCCAAUGACGGUUGUGAAGUCGCCCUAAAGAAAGAAUCGUCUAGACGUCUUCAAAGCAACUUUACGCAAUCUCUUUUUCAGAAUGUACAAAUUUCUAUUCACAUAAAUCCCUUUUCUCUUUUUUAUUCGAAAAGAUUCGCUCGUCUUACGUCUACUACUUUGGUACAAAGAAUUUUUCUGAUUGACAUGCGUUUACAUAUAACUUAUCCGGCCAUUUGUUAUCAUUAUCGAUUAUAAAUCAAAGUUUAAUGUGAAGAAAAUAGAUUAUGCCAGAAAUACUUAGUUUGAGAAUUUUAGGAAAUAAGAGAAAUUAUAUUAUAAUUCGUACUGAUUGUAAGAUAAUCACUGUUUAAUUUUUAUGUUUAAAAGAUGUUAAAUUCGAUAAAGAAUUAACGGAUAUAUUCGCGAUAUUGAUAUUAAAAUCAAACAAACAUAUUUUAUGUCACGAAAAGAAUCUAAUAUUCGAAAUAUUUUACACAAAAAAAAAAUAGAUAAUCACUUUAUAUCGAAAAA
RNAcentral lists this unclassified non-coding RNA (2627 nucleotides) under Apis florea (little honeybee). Its description in RNAcentral is "uncharacterized LOC100866038, transcript variant X6". Lineage: Eukaryota; Metazoa; Arthropoda; Insecta; Hymenoptera; Apidae. The record is from RNAcentral.